This 870-nucleotide ribosomal RNA is filed under the name Methanococcus sp. Mc70_2. RNAcentral's name for it is "bacterial SSU rRNA". It matches the Rfam family "Archaeal small subunit ribosomal RNA", at positions 26 to 894 of the family's 1478-position model. Lineage: Archaea; Methanobacteriati; Methanobacteriota; Methanococci; Methanococcales; Methanococcaceae. The record is from RNAcentral.
ACUGCUAUCGGGGUCCGACUAAGCCAUGCGAGUCAUGGGGCUCCCUUUUGGGAGCACCGGCGAACGGCUCAGUAACACGUGGCUAACCUACCCUCGGGUGGGGGAUAACCUCGGGAAACUGAGGCUAAUCCCCCAUAGGGGAGGAGGUCUGGAAUGAUCCCUCCCCGAAAGGCGUAAGCCGCCCGAGGAUGGGGCUGCGGCGGAUUAGGUAGUUGGUGGGGUAAUGGCCCACCAAGCCUACGAUCCGUACGGGCCCUGAGAGGGGGAGCCCGGAGAUGGACACUGAGACACGGGUCCAGGCCCUACGGGGCGCAGCAGGCGCGAAACCUCCGCAAUGCGCGAAAGCGCGACGGGGGGACCCCGAGUGCCCUGCCUCUGGCAGGGCUUUUCCGGAGUGUAAACAGCUCCGGGAAUAAGGGCUGGGCAAGUCCGGUGCCAGCAGCCGCGGUAAUACCGGCGGCCCAAGUGGUGGCCACUGUUAUUGGGCCUAAAGCGUCCGUAGCCGGCCCGGUAAGUCUCUGCUUAAAUCCCGCGGCUUAACCGCGGGGCUGGCAGAGAUACUGCCGGGCUUGGGACCGGGAGAGGCCGGGGGUACCCCAGGGGUAGCGGUGAAAUGCGUUGAUCCCUGGGGGACCACCUGUGGCGAAGGCGCCCGGCUGGAACGGGUCCGACGGUGAGGGACGAAGGCCGGGGGAGCAAACCGGAUUAGAUACCCGGGUAGUCCCGGCUGUAAACUCUGCGGACUAGGUGUCGCGUGCCCUUCGGGGGCACGCGGUGCCGAAGGGAAGCCGUUAAGUCCGCCGCCUGGGGAGUACGGUCGCAAGACUGAAACUUAAAGGAAUUGGCGGGGGAGCACUACAACGGUGGAGC